This is a long non-coding RNA of Hippocampus comes (tiger tail seahorse), 1622 nucleotides long. RefSeq lists it as uncharacterized. The transcript is spliced from 2 exons. The record is from RefSeq and is a predicted model, not a curated record. NCBI's taxonomy places the organism in Eukaryota, Metazoa, Chordata, Actinopteri, Syngnathiformes, Syngnathidae.
UAUUUCAUUCUGGGUUUGUUCCACAUGAUGAUGCUGAUGAUGUAAACACCAAGCAACACACGGCUUCAAUUCGUUUGCUAUUUCUAAGUACCGUAUUUUUUGGACGAGUCGCACCUUUUUUGUAUUUUGGCUGGUCUUUCGACUGACACUCAGCUCCAACUUGUGCAAUUAAUAUGAUACGAAUUUUCAGAUUCAAAUCUCGCACGCACUCCAUUUCAGAAGGUGGCGGUGGUAAUGCGUCAACGCAAUUUGCCAAUCGCCAAAAGAAAGCAGAAAUAGAAACGGAAUGAGAAAAGGAAGAAGAAACAGAAGUAGUAGUAGUCAUGGCAACCCAUGUGUGACGCAAGUCGUUAGUUUGCUGCCGCUUCUCACGGAAAUACAUGAAGAGAGCGUCUCCCCAGCUAGCUUGCUAGAAUUUUCUCUUUACAGCACCAAAAGGCAGAAAAACCAAUGAGGUUUUGACCUUUGGCCACAAUGCAACACAGGAUCCGAGUUAAGGGUUGCGUGUGGCUACGGCGGCGGCAAAGCUGACAAGGCAACACAGCACGGUGGUGACGUGUGUGGCAGGCCAGCUGGAGGCGUCAUCCUCGACGUACGCUGCCAACAGGUGCCAACAACAAACCAGGAACCACAGCACCGAAGACACUAUAUCAAUUCUCCUCAACCUGAUAAUCACACCAGAUGGACGGUUGACUUUUCCUCCUCAAACAGAUAUCCGCAGCAGAGUGAGACUAACCUGGCCGCUCCUGCUAAUUGGAGACCAAUGAGGCACGAUGAAAGGCCGACACAAAUGACCGCCAUCUGAUUAGCUUGUCCGAAGAGCCACAAGAGCUUGGCAUCCUCUACAAGUGUAACCGGGAGGAGGUCCAGCAGACUCUGCCAUGACUGUGUGACUCCAUCGCUGCCAUUUUUGGUGGCGGACACGUUGUGGGCGAUUGAUUGGGAAUGAUUCAGUCCUCCGUUUGAAGUCUGCCGGUCGGCCGAGAAAGUCAAAGCGAGCAGAAAAGCACAAACGAGGAACGAGAGACAUCUAAGCAGGACGACAGCCAGAGAACAGGAUGCAGAGAGGGAGCCCUGUAAGCAAGAUAGAACUUCAUGGAUUAGACAGAAGUAGUCAAAUUUCAAGGGCUGAAAUGUAGCGAUGCUAACAGUUUAAAGAUGCCCCUGUUUCCUGUGAAAGGUAAAAACUUUAACUGCUUCCAACUAAUACCAAGCACGAUUUUAUAUCACCUUUUGCAGGCCACAAAACAGAUUGGCAGGACAAAUAUGGCUCACGGGUCUCAAAUUUUACACGUGUCCUAGAUUUAUUUACACUAUAGGGUACAGAUGCCAUAAUUACAAAUGCAGUGUGAUAUCUUCACAUUGGAAUCAGGGCUCUUCCAAAUGUGGAUAAAAUCUGACAUAAUGCAUACCUGCCGAUAUGAGCGCAAGAAACGCUUCGUCAAUGCGAACUUCAUAGAAAUAGUAAACUCGAACAUAAAUAAAUCUGAACAACAGUGAAAGAAUAAACAAAAAUGAUGUUGUUUCACUAAUUCCGUGGCAGAAAAAAAACAACAACAGUGGUGUUAUACCUCUGAUCACUUGAAAUGUACAUGUAAAUAGAGCCCCCCCCAAAAAAAAAA